UCAAACGCCGUCAAGCCCUAGGGUUGAGAGAGAAAGAGAGCGCCACGUGAGAGAGAGAAAGAAGCGAAGCUGCCAAUGUCGCGCCUCGUCCAUACCCUCAUUCGGGGGAUCCACUGGUGGUCAAGAAGAUUCACGAGGGACGACUGAAGCCACGAGGGACGACUGAAGCCUAGCGGGUGAGAAUUCCUCCCCUGACUACAUAAAAUUUCCAUCAUUCGCACCACACCGAAGACAGGGCUCUGCAUUAGCCAAUAACCGGUAAUAACUCCUCUGAAUCAUUCGCCUUGGUUUCCUAUACGUGUAGCUUUCCUCGAUUUGAAAUUUUGUGUGCGGGGUUGAAGAUUGGCUGUCAUCGCAAUGUCCACCACCGUAGCAUCCGGCGGUGUCGCGCGCGGGGCACUCGGCCUGUGUGGGGGAAUGGUCGGGAAUAGAUCUAAGGUGUUUUAAAUCCUGGCCACCGAUCGUGGAUCGGAUGGCUAUCGUUGAGUACCAGUUCACAUAAGGAUCGAUCUAAUUGGGGCCGUUAACCCUAGAUCGGGCAGCUCACAUGUCAUGAUACCCCUUCGGUCGCAUUAGUUUUGUAAAAGAACCCCUUUAAUUUUUACUAUUCAACCCGCACUCGGCUUCAACUCAUAAGAAAUUAGAUCUGGGCCCUAUUUUUAAUACUUUAAACCCUGGAUUACCUCAUAAUAGUACCCGCGGUACAUAUAAGGUUUGGGAUUUAUAAAAUGAAGCAGAAAAUUGAUUUUCAAUAUAAAAAUAAAUCAAAAAACUUAGAAAAUGUAUAACUUAUCUGUAUUAACUCCAAUUUUAGUGGUUCUCGAGCCUACGAUCUCAUAGCGACAUGUAGAACUUUAUUAUAUAGUUUGUUCUCAUGUUUGGUGUGAUGUUAAUUUUGCCUAUACAAUGUUUGUUUGUAUUGUUCCGAGUAGACGAGCAAGCAACUAAGGAACCCAAAGCACAGUAGAUUGAAGAUUCUGAGCUAGAGCUCGCAGAAGACAAGUUGUGCCCUUGAUCACUCUUCUUUAUCUAAUAAUGUUCCCCAUAAUCAGUAUGACAUGCUCAGGUUAAUUUGAUGGGACCUAAUAGGUUACCCUAGUUUGGUCUACUCUAUACCUUGCUUACCACUGAACUAUUGGGUAGUAUUUGCUAUUGCUCUAUGUGGUUUUAGGUGUUAUGAUGCAUAUUAUUCAUGAUCAUGCCUAUUACUGUCAAUAGACUCUUUGUUGUUCAUGAUAAGAUUAUUUUGGUUAAUUGGAACAUUUAGCGACCACCUAAGAUAAUAGUGCUACCACAAGGGUGGAAUGAGACGCUCUUGGCUAAUUAAUUAGGAAAGCUAGUGUGAGUUAAUCCUUUCCCGAAAGGGGCAAGCGGGGUGGAGUGCAGGUGUAGGGAGGUCCUCGGGUCGGACUGUCUAUAAAUCUUUUCUGAUGAGAGAUUCCUAUAUCGCCUUCGGCCUAGAAUCCAUAGUGAGUUCUCUCCUCUAGUGGAACUUUGGAAAGGCCUCGUAGUGCUACCAUGCCUCAUCUCCUAUGUAGAGAUGAAUAGGAUUAGAGACCCCUUGGCAAAUGGGUAAACACGUCUUGUGGGUAAAUAUGUGUAACCUCUGCAGAGUGUAAAACUAGUAUAUCUGUCAUGCUCAUGGUCAUGAGCGGUACGGACCCUGACAUGAGUAACUUAUGGAAUUAAACUUAAUCUAAAAUUUGCAUUGCAUUGUAGGAUUUAUUAUUAAAUGUGAUCUCUUAUUUAAUUUGGUUGGUAUACACUUAUACUUAGUGAUUGCUCAUAAAUUUUUUAAGAACUUAUUAAAAGCAAUGCUCAGGUUUAACCAUUAUUUGUUGAUAAGCCUUACACUACACAUGAGCCCCCACCAUAAGUGAGCUCAUGCACAUUAUUCACCACACUUGCUGAGCAAUGAACGUCUGUGAGCUCACUCUUGCUAUAAACCCUCCAGGUGAAGAGUAGGUACCGCCGGAGGAGGAUUACUACGAUGAGUUUGAUGAGAUCUAGGUGUCAUCUCCCAGUUAACUGUUGGCGCCGAGGACAUAGUUAUCUUAGUUUGAUUUAUUUAUUUAUUUAUUUAUUUAUUUAUUAUUUGCUAUUUUGUAAGACAUUCUCGUUAUAUAAUAAAGUUUGUGACAUUCGUCUCUAUACACUGAGUCAUUGUAUGUGUGUAUUUCGAUUUGGCGCACAUAUGAGACGCACCCGGGGUUGCCACGAAAUCCGGUUGUGAUAAUUACCUUGACCUCACUCUUGCGUGUAGUCUCCUGUACUACUCCACCCAUCACUUAGGUCCCCUUUAGGAGGGCUCUGGCUCCUCUCCUUGGCUUCUCUGGAUGAGCCAGAGUUGUUUUACAAUUCGUUUGGCAAAACGGCUUCUCCUGUGUUUAUUUCGAAUGAUGUAUGAGAAAAGUGUAGGAGCCGGUAGAAGCCAGGUUUUAAAAUGGCUCUCUCGACGAGAAUCCAUUUUUGGACCAUUUGGCAGGGCUUCGCGAGGAGCUAAAGCUAGAGCCGCCAAAGAGCCAUGCCAAAGGGACCCUUACUUGUGUCUAGAUUACAGUUUUGUUGCCCACAUAUUAGAACAAACCGAGUAUAAAUUGAUUGUUUGAGGCUGUAAACAAAACAAUUGUCAACUAAAAAAAUAAAUAAUUUUUUUAUUUUCUACAACUUUUAUUUUGGUACUUUUUCAUCCGACAUCGUUUACAAAAUUUGCAUUUGAAAGUUUGUCAUAUUGAUAUGCAAUUUUGAUAGCCCAAAUGAUUUCAAAUGAAAACGUUGUCAACUACAAAGUUUCACAACUUAUAUAGACCUAGAACUUUCAUUUUGGUGGUUUUUCAUACAAGGUCAAUUGGAAAACUAAAAAAUUCGAUUUCAAAUGAUUUCUACAGGCGUUUUUCUUCAGAAACAUCAGUAGAAAUCAUAUUUGUACAGACGGUUCUAAGAAAAUCGCGUGGUACAAAUGGCUCAAUUUCUACUGGCAGUUUACUUAAGGAAUCGCCCGUACACAUAUGAUUUCUACUCACGGUUUCUUAACUAAAUCGCUAGUGAAAAAGUGUUUCUACUGUCGGUUCUUGAGUCAGGACGACCAAUUUAUUUUCAUUGGCCCUCAAUAACCAAAACCACAUGUAAAACUUAUACCUCCCUAUAGGCAUAGAUCUUUUUUACAAGUGUCAGUCGCAAAGAACGUCUUUACCGAGUGCUAGACAAAAAAUGGUUGGCAAAAAAUACUUGGCAAAUAGCUUCUUUGCCGAGUGUCUUUUUUUACACUAGGCAAAGGGUUUUUCUGCCGAGUGUCUUUUUAAACUAGACAAAAACAAUUUGAAAAUCACAUUUUGAAGUCGUAAAUUAAUUCAAAUGAAAAAUUUUCAACUUCAAUGUUAUAUAACUCAUCAAGAUGUACAAUUUUUGUUUUGGUCAUUUCUUUACAUGACAAAAUGGAGAAGGUUAAAUAAAAGGAUGAAGAUGAAAAAGAGAGUGGAUAAAAUUGCAGAAAACAUUAAAUAUGAAUGAAGCAUAAGUCAAACAUGUAACAUAUGGUUCAACCUUAGAAGAUAUUACUUUCUUUCCCUUCUUCCAUACUUAAUAAAAGAUUACAUAAAUACCUUUGGCUUCAUAAGAUUACAAGAACAAGGUAAAGAAGGUACAAUUUCGUAGGUGAAACAGGAUACUUUUCUCCAGUCAAAAGAUCUGAAAAAUGCAUGUCAAUGUCCUUCUAUUUAUAGGCGCGACGUACAGUUUCGACGAAAUUACAAUCAUGUCCUCAAGCGUACACAUUUAAUCUAGCACAUAUACUAAAGAUAGCGCUAUAUUUUCCUCAUGCCGUCUUGUUGAGCAAGUCUUGAUGACUUCUCGUAGUUUCAUCCCACUUAUACAUUGUUAAUCCGAAGCUUGUGUUUUUGCAUUUGCGUUCAUUGAUAGCGUUGACCGAAGAUGAGCUUCGGCACUAUACCUAUGACACUUAAAAUAAGCUAGAAAUAGCUUAUUAAAGUUAGUGUUUUGAGGACCUUCGAAAGAGGAAGGCUCCCAAUAGUAUGAUGAAAAUGAAAUGUAUACUUAGUUUGAAAAGGGCCUAGCUCAUGAAACUAAGAAGAAUUAAAUUUUGACUGAUGAGCUAAAUGUUUGCAAUGAUUAAAUUACUUGUCUUAAGCUUGAAAUUAUGGAUCUUGAUGCUAAGAUUAAGGAAUUGAACUCUUGUCAUGUUUCUACAUCUUUAGUUAAACAUGUUUCUAUUUGCAAUAGAUGCCAAGGUGUAGAUAUUAAUGCUCUUGUUGAUAAUAUUCCUAUGAUCAAAAGUUUGAAUAAUCAUGUCACAAAACUAGAGGAAAAGGUUGUCGAGCAUGAAUUGGAGUAUGAAAAGUAAAAUUUGCUCGCAACAUUCUUUUGAGUGGAAGACGCCCAAGCAUUAAGGAUGGUGUUGGCUUCCAAACCGGAGGCAAAGAGAACACCAAUUAUAAUGCCAAUGUAAAGGGAUUUGUAGAAUUUGUUAGGGGCAAAGCUCGAAUUGUUCUUGAUCAUGAUUCUUAUAAUUCCUAUCCUAAGAAUAGUCAUGCUAAGAAUGAUCAUGCUAAGAACACUCAUAUUCAUCAUACACAUGUCUCUAAUGCAAAAGCAUAUCAUUCUAGGCAUUUUGGUUCACAUGCUAAAGUUUCUCAAAUGCCUAAGAAGAAAAUUAAGAAUGCAUCAACCGGACCACAUAUGUCAUUCCAUACCUUUGAUGCAUCUUAUCUGCUUACUAACAAAUACGGCAAAGUAGUUGCCAAAUAUGUUGGUCCCCGGCACAAGAGCAGUAAAACUUGUGUUUGGGUUCUAAAGGUGCUUGUUACGAAUGUAAAAGGACCCAUGACCAUUUGGGCACCUAAGAACAAGGCCUAAUUUGUUUUUGUAGGUUUAUGCAUCCAGAGGCACAAGUUGGGUAAUCAAUAGCGGAUGCACAAAUCACAUGAUGGGUGAGAAGACAAUGUUCUCAUGCUACGAUAAGAACAAAGACUCCCAAGAUGCUAUUAUAUUUGGGGAUCAGAGUCAAAGUAAGGUAAAAUCACAAUCACCACCAAACAUUUCAUUUCAAAUGUAUUUUUGGUGGAUUCUCUAGACUACAAUUUGCGUUCUGUAUCACAAUUAUGUUUCAUUGGUUACAAUUGUGUAUUUACCAAUGUUGGUUUUACCAUCUAUAGGAGUGAUGAUUCCAUAGCUUUUAACGGUGUGUUAAAGAGAAAACUUUAUCUAGUAGGUUUUUCAAAUGAUAAAGCCAAACUUGACACAUGCUUCAUAGCUAAAACUAAUAUAUGUUGGCUAUGGCAUCAACGACUUGUCCAAGUUGGGAUGAAGAAUCUUCAUAAGCUUCUAAAGGGGAACACAUUUUAGGACUAUCCAAUGUGUAAUUUGUAACACUCCAAAAUCGUAUCUUGGUGGAUUAAUAAAAAUUCCCUAAAGAUUUAAAAUUUCAAGCAUAUUAUAACAAAGUUAUGAAUUGAGACUAUCUUCCCUACAAUUUAAUAAAUAGUAAAUAUAAAAUGUUGGCUAUAUACUUAAACUAUAAUAAAUAGGAUAGUGAGUUAUUCUAUAUAAAUUGCUCCUAUUUGAUUAUAUAACUAUGUGAAUUCCAUGCUUAUUAAAUUUCAUGCAUACAAAUACUUAUUUGAGCAAAGUAAAUAAGGAGUAAAUAAGUGUAAAAUAUUUGUAUUCAUAUUGGUGUUUUGGUUGUGCAUAUAAAUAUGGUUUCAAAAUUUAAAAUCAUAUUUGAAUUGGGAUAAUUAAAUCUAGAAAUAAAAAAACAGAAAAAAGAAUAGCAAAUAAAAAGCUUACCUAAUCGGCCACUUAAGGAACACAACCCACAUGAGUUUUUCCUCCUAUUUUUUAUUCCACUUGCCGGAUCUUGCAUCACUAUUACAUCAUCCAUGACAUCAGCUAUCCCUUGCUGUUCGUAACAAACUAACCAUCGUGGUUAUUGUAACCGCUCGGCCAAGCAUCUCACCUGCGUAACGGAUUUGGUUUCGAGUUUGUUAGUGUUCCUAACAGAUAGGAUAUGAUUGUAACAGAUAAUUACCAGAUUAUAUCUAUCAUGUAAUAGAUUUGGUUACGUGUUUAUUAGAGUUCCUAAUAUAUAGGAUAUGACUGUAACAGAUAAGUACCUGAUUAGAUCUAUCAUGUAACCACCCACCUCCCAGCCUAUAUAAAUACACGCCACCAUAGCACCUCAAGCCAUCAAUCAAAGACUCAUCUCAUCCAUAGCCUCGCAGCAGCAUCGCCGCCAUCCAAGCCACAGUAGCCUAUCGUCAGCCAAGCUUGCAGCCAUAAGCCGCUAUGACCAGCUCGGCAAAGUUCGAGUUCCUCCCCAAUUCUAGCAACAACUUCGGCGAGUAAUUUACCACCGUCAUGUCACCUAUUUUUGUGCGGCCUACUAAUUUUUAAAAACUGUAUCUUCUAGGUCAAAUAAUUUGUUUUAAUCUGUUUAAGUCAUGUUAGGUUCAUAUUAAUUUUGCGUACGUAGUAAUAACAUUGCUUUAAUUAUGCCACAUGUUUUAAAUAAUUAGUUAAUUAUUUGUUUAAUUAAUGUUAACUAGCUAGACAAUCUAGUUAAUCUAAUUUAUAGUUGUAACCUAUGCUUAUUAUAAAUAAUUAUUAAAUUGAUUAAUAUCAACUCAGAUAUUUUAACUUAAUACAUGCUUAGUUUAAAUGCAACAUCUAUUAGAUUUAUGGCGCCUAAAAAUAUUGUUUUACCCAUAGUUUUUUUGUUUUAACUCCGAUUUUAGUGGUUACCGAACCUACGAUCUCGUAACAACACGUAGAAUAUUCUUACGCUGUUUGUUCUCAUGUUUGGUGUACUGUUAUUUUUAUGUACUUCUUGUCUAUUUGUAUGUAUUGGUAUGAGUAGCAACGAGGUUACGAGUUACCCGAAGACUAAUUUGGUAAAGUACCUGGGAAUCUCGAGUCUAAGGCAAGUUGUGCCCUUAAUCACUCUUCUUUAUCUAAUAAUGUUCUCUGAUAAUCACUGUGACAUGCUCAGGUUAAUUUGAUGGGACCUAAUAGGUUUCCCUAGUUUUGUUUACCCCAUACCUUGCAAACCAAUGAACUAUUGGGUAGAUUCGCUAUUGCUCUACCUGGUUUUGGAAAAUUAAUAUUAUGAUCAUGAUCCAAUUAUGUUGUUGUUUUAAUUAUUGUUCUUGACAAGAUUAUCAUGUUAAUUGGAAUAUGGAUAACCACCUGGGAAAAUAGUGCUACCACAAGUGUGGAAUGGGACGCACUUGGCCAAGUAUAGGAAAGCUAGGAAGAGAUUACCUUACCCGAAAGGGGCAAGCGGGGAGGCGUCGCUACAGAGUAUAGGGAGGUUCUCGAGUCGAACAGCUGCGAUGGCAUUUCGGAAGAGGGAUUCCUAUGCUUCCUUCUUCCUGAAUCCGUAGUGUGUUUUCUCGAACUAGUGGAACUUUGAAAAGGCCUCGUAGUGGACCCCUAGCCAUUCACCUUGGAAGUCUCUAAGGGUCUAGCUAACCCUGGCUAAUCGAGAAACACGUCUUAUAUGUAAAGGUGUGCAACCUCUGCAGAGUGUAAAACUGGUAUAUCAGCCGUGCUCACGGUCAGGAGUAGCUCAGACCCUCACAUGAGUACUUUAUGGAACUAAAAUUAAUUUGUCAUAUGCAGUGCAUUGUGGGUGUUAUUAUUAAUUGUGAUCUCAUAUUUAAUUGGGUUGGUAUCUACUUAUAAUUAGUAACUGCUAAUAAAACUUUGACCAACUUUAAAAGCAAUGCUCAGCUUUAACCAUCUUCUUUGGUAAGCCUUACACUUCACAUGAGCCUUCACCAGUGAGCUCAUGCACAUUAUUCCCCAUAACUUGUUGAGCGAUGAACGUAUGUGAGCUCACCCUUCUUGUACUCACAUCCCCUAGGCCAAGGACAGGUACCACAAGAUGAAGAGCAUGAAUGAUGUCGCGAUGAGUUCGUGAGAGGUCUAGGCUGUCGUCUCCCAGUCAACUAUGGUUGCUGGAUCAUUGUCUUCAUAUGAUGUAAUUAUUUAGGUAUUUUGUACAGAAAUCCUAUUAUAUAGUAAAGAUGUGACAUUCAUUUCUGUACCUUGAGUCAUCAUAUGUGUGAGACUCGAUCCUAGCACACAUUUGAUUCGCGCCCGGGUUUAGCCCUUAAAUCCAGGUGUGACAGAAGUGGUAUCAGAGGAAUGUUGAGUGUAGGACGAACCUAUAUAGAACUGAACAACCCUUACCUACUUAACUUUGCUUCUCUGAUUCUUUCUAAACUUCCCUUAAUCUUUUCUCAUCUGUUGCUUCUUUACUCUGAUUACUCUUACCUUUUCUCUUCUAAAAACCAAGUGGAUUUCACACUUUGAUAUCCUGUACCUAAAGUGACCCUUAGGAAUAGGAGAUCUAAUCUUAGGAACACAAACAAAACUAUUUUUGUAGGUACCUAUAUGUUUGAAUGCUUGUUCUUAUGAUACCUGUUUGAUUUGGUUCUUUGAUUGAGUGUGAUGAGUUGUGCAGUAAUAUCCACAAUUGCAUCUUCAUAGACAAUCAGGCAUAAAAAAAUUCUAGCAAAACAUCUAUUCAACUUAGAUUAUCCAUUAAAAUAUAUUUAGCCUAAUAGAUCCAUCUCAUAUUAAAAGAUUCUAUCUUAUCCUUAUAGAUUCAUCAUGUCCUAAUAAGCAUAUUUAUCCCACUCUAGAGUAACAACCAUGAUUUAGUCCAAAAUAAAUUAAUUAGAUCUUAUAUAAGUCUAAUCUAGUCAUACCAAGUUAAUCUAGAACCCAUCUAAUCUGAUCAUAUUUAAUCAAAGGUGAGUUACUUAAACAUGUUAGUUGAUACUGGUAAAGUAGAUUAGACCCACUCGUAUAAACAUGUCUUAACCUAAAUUGGUGUCUUAGGCCAACUCAUCCAAUACACAAACAACCUAACCUAUAUAUUCUUGUUAGGUUGCCUAAACUAUCUAUUUCACAACAAAAUAUUUUAACCUACCCACCUAAUCUACAUGUUCCUAAAGAUCUAUACCUAGCCGACCUAACAAAGCAACUAGACCAGGUUUGGCCAUAGCACACUCGUCCUAUGCCAUCUACCUAUUAGCUAUAUGUUCUUAUCUACAAGCUAUCUUAACUAUAUGUCCCUAACUCGGACACGGACAUCAAGACCCGAGAAGAGAAGAUCAACCUCGUCAUGGAAGGAUAAAAGUCUAACCAUAUCUUCAGAUGCGUACCACCCAAGAUGGAGUCUUUCCUUGCCAUAAUCCUUGUGACCCCAACCUAUCCAUCUCUUAUCCCACAUAAUAAGUGGCUAGAUACAUAUACUCUCCUAGUCACCCAUUAAUGAUUAUUAUAGAAAGGGGGACUCCUGAUUUUUGAACUAAUUAGAAACUAAAAGCUAAAUUACAAACCAUUCUUUCUAUAUCCCCUUUCUUAGUUAUCUGGUGAACGAGAUUAUUUUUAAGGGUAGAAUUUGUAACAAUCCAAAAUCGUAUCUUGGUUAAUUAAUAAAAUUCCCUAAAGAUUUAAAAUUUCAAGCAUAUUAUAACAAAGUUAUGAAUUGAGACUAUCUUCCCUACAAUUUAAUAAAUAGUAAAUAUAAAUUGUUGGCUAUAUACUUAAACUAUAAUAAAUAGGAUAGUGAGUUAUUCUAUAUAAAUUACUCCGAUUGGGUUAUAUAACUAUGUGAAUUCCAUGCUUAUUAAAUUUUAUGCAUACAAAUACUUAUUUGAGCAAAGUAAAUAAGGAGUAAAUAAGUGUAAAAUAUUUGCAUUCAUGUUGGUGUUUUGGUUGUGCAUAUAAAUAUGGUUUCAAAAUUUAAAAUUAGAUUUGAAUUGGGAUAAUUAAAUCUGGAAAUAAAAAACAGAAAAAAGAAUAGCAAAUAAAAAGCUUACCUAAUCGGCCACUUAAGGAACAUAACCCACGUGAGUUUUUCCUCCUAUUUUUUAUUCCACUUGUCAGAUCUUGCAUCACUGUUAUAUCAUCCAUGACAUCAGCCAUCCCUUGCUAUUCGUAACAAACUAACCACCGUAGUUAUUGUAAUCGCUCGGCCAAACAUCUCACCUGCGUAACGGAUUUGGUUUCGAGUUUGUUAGAGUUCCUAAUAGAUAGGAUAUGAUUGUAACAGAUAAGUAUCAAAUUAGAUAUAUCAUGUAAUAGAUUUGGUUUCGAGUUUGUUAGAGUUCCUAAUAUAUAGGAUAUGGUUGUAACAGAUAAGUACCGAAUUAGAUCUAUCAUGUAACUACCUACCUUCCAGCCUAUAUAAAUGCAUGCCACCAUAACACCUCAGAGCAUCAAUCAAAGACUCAUCUCAUCCAUAGCCUUGCAGCAGCACCGCCACCAUCCAAGCCACAGUAGCCAGCCGCCAGCCAAGCUCGCAACCAUAAGUCGGUAUGACCAGCUAGUCGAAGUUCAAGUUCCUCCCCAACUCUAGCGACAACUUUGGCGAGUAAUUUCCCACCGUCAUGUCACCUAUUUUUGUGCGGCCCUACUAAUUUAUUAAAAAAUGUACCUCUAGGUCAAAUAAUUUAUUUUAAUCUAUUCAAGUUGUGUUAGGUUCAUAUUAAUUUUUGUGUACGUAGUAAUAACAUUGUUUUAAUUAUGCCACAUGUUUUAAAUAAUUAGUUAAUUAGUUAAUUAUUUGUUUAAUUAAUAUUAAUUAGCUAGGCAAUCUAGUUAAUCUAAUUUAUAGUUGUAACCUACGCUUAUUAUAAAUAAUUGUUAAAUUGAUUAAUAUCAACUCAGAUAUUUUAACUUAAUGCAUGCUUAGUUUAAAUCCAACAUCUAUUAGAUUUAUUGCGCCUAAAAAUAUUGUUUUACCCAUAACUUUUUUGUUUUAACUCCGAUUUUAAUGGCUCUCGAACCUACGAUCUCGUAACAACACGUAGAAUAUUCUUACAUUGUUUGUUCUCAUAUUUGGUGUACUGUUAUUUUUAUGUACUUUUUGUCUAUUUGUAUGUAUUGCUACGAGUAGCAGCAAGGUUAUGAGUCAACUGAAGACCAAUUUAGUGAAGUAACUGGGAAUCUGGAGUCUAAGGUUGUGCCCUUGAUCAUUCUUCUUUACCUAAUAAUGUUCUCUGGUAAUCAUUGACAUGCUCAGGUUAAUUUGAUAGGACCUAAUAGGUUUCCCUAGUUUUGCUUACCCCAUACCUUGCAAACCAAUGAACUAUCGGGUAGAUUUUCUAUUGGUGUACCUGGUUUUGGGAAAUUAAUGUUAUGAUCAUGUUACAAUUAUGUUGUUGUUUUAAUUAUUGUUCAUGACAAGAUCAUCAUGUUAAUUGGAACAUAGGGAACCACCCGGGAAAACAGUGCUACCACAAGGGUAGAAUGUGACGACCUUGGCCAAGUAAUUAGGAAAGCUAGGGAGAGAUUACUUUACCCUAAAGGGGCAAGCGGGGAGGCGUCACUGCAGAGUAUAGGGAGGUUCUUGAGUCGAACUGCUACGAUGGCAUUUCAGACGAGGGAUUCCUAUGCUUCCUUCUUCCUGAAUCCGUAGCGGGUUUUCUCGAACUAGUGGAACUUUGAAAAUGCCUCGUAGUGGAUCCCUAGCCAUUUACAUUGGAGGUCUCUAAGGGUCUAGCUAACCCUGACUAAUCGGGAAACACGUCUUGUGGGUAAAGAUGUGCAACCUCUGUAGAGUGUAAAACUGGUAUAUCAAUCGUGCUCACGGUCAUGAACAGCUCGGACCCUCACAUGAGUAAUUUAUGGAACUAAACUUAAUAUGUCAUAUGCAUUGCAUUGUGGGUGUUAUUAUUAAUUGUGAUCUCAUAUUUAAUUGGGUUGGUAUCUACUUAUACUUAGUAACUGCUAAUAAAACUUUUACCAACUUUAAAAGCAAUGCUCAGCUUUAACCAUCUUCUUUGUUAAGCCUUACACUUCACAUGAGCCCCCACCAGUGAUCUCAUACACAUUAUUCCCCUUAACUUGUUGAGCGAUGAACGUAUGUGAGCUCACCCUUGCUGUACUCACAUCCCCCUAGGUCAAGGACAGGUACCACAAGAUGAAGAGCAUGAAGGAUG
This 11972-nucleotide long non-coding RNA is filed under the name Zea mays. RNAcentral describes it as "long non-coding RNA (ZMAY_LNC001085)". Lineage: Eukaryota; Viridiplantae; Streptophyta; Magnoliopsida; Poales; Poaceae. The record is from RNAcentral.